CUUCCUGCUUCCUCAGCGUCUGGCGGUCACGGACACCUCCAUUCAUUGUGCCACCUCCUCCCCUACAGUGGAUCUGCCCCCUCCUACAGUGGCUCCACCUUGAAACCCCCUGCAGCCAGCGCCGGCCCGACAAUUACGCGCUGCGGGCUACGGCGUCCGCGUAGAGCGCAGGAUAGGAUCAGAUCACUUCAUCGAGCACUGCCGCUGGGGAGCUGUGGUCUCUCUCAAUGGUGGCAGUUGUCGCUCCCAUGUUGGACUCCUCGGAUCCAAACUCCCAAACUGACAGAUGCUGUGCAGUCCGUUAACACCUGGUGCUGUCGGGGAUACAAAAACGUCCUUGCUUUCAAGAGGCACCACCUUUCUGACCUUGUGGUUGAACUUAGAACUCGGCAGCCCCAUCUCAGGAAAAUAUCCAAGCCAAAAAAUAAGUAGUUCGUAAGGGUUAUGAAAUGAUUAUUCCAUGUUAAAAAAAAAAAAAAAAAAAUGUUUUUGACCUUCACUUUCUCAGUCCUCAGACAUAGAUGGGAAGUUCCCUAAUGCCUGAAAUACCAGUUACCUUGCUAGACAAAAACAUCUAUUAUGCACUAUAGUUAAACAUUGACAUGGCACAGUAACUCAGUGAGGGGGGAGCAGAAAUUGAAUAUUAAACUGUAUGUUCAGCAGCCCAGGAAGCAGGUCCUAUAGCUGGACAGUGGCCUGUGUGUUUAGAAUAGCACUCAUCAGACUACUGGUAGAACUGGUAUGGGACACCAUUGCAUCCAUCUAUUGAGAACUAAAGUCUCUCCAUUAUACAAAAAUGAACCAUUUUAUCCAUAUUGUACAUAUGUUUUACAGGGAGAAUUAGUAGGCUUUGUAUAGCUUAUUAUCAGUUCUAAAACUGACAUUGUGUGUAAUUUCUUCUGUCUAGGGAUGGCCAUUGGAGAGGUAACUAUUGUUGGUCACUAUCGAUUUUAGCAUUGGUGGUUGAUCUCGAUACUAUAAACCCAUUCAUGUGGGAACCACUCAUGGUUUUACCCACCGAAGGUCAUACCUGCUCUGCUAUCCACUCUGUCAGUCUCUUCGCUGGUUACCUGUAUUCUACAGUAUUCAAUAAAAAAAUAUUUUACUUACA
This is a long non-coding RNA of Pseudophryne corroboree (corroboree frog), 1111 nucleotides long. RefSeq lists it as uncharacterized. Lineage: Eukaryota; Metazoa; Chordata; Amphibia; Anura; Myobatrachidae. The record is from RefSeq and is a predicted model, not a curated record. The transcript is spliced from 2 exons.